Molecule: long non-coding RNA, 471 nt
Organism: Pseudophryne corroboree (corroboree frog)
Lineage: Eukaryota; Metazoa; Chordata; Amphibia; Anura; Myobatrachidae
Exons: 3
Source: RefSeq, a predicted model, not a curated record
AGAGACAGAUAGAGGGACAGAGAGAGAUAGAUAGAGGGACAGAGAGAGAGAGAGACAUAGAGAGAGAGCGCAGGAUGUUGGCGGUCUGGAGACAGUGUAGCCGAUCCAGGUGGUGAGCGAUGACUCUGGGGAUGAGCCAGAGAGUCAAGAUACUGAGGUUCCCAUGGGGCACAUGGGAAAAGAAGCCGGCAGCGUGGUGUUGGCGGCGGAUGGAGGUGCAGCUAAAGGUGACAAAAGGGGUGCCAAGCACAAUCCGUGGACCCCAGCAGAAGUGAAAGCUGUUGAACGUCACAUGAUUCGGUUCAUUCGCUCAUUCAAGGUGCCGGGCAAGAAUGACUGUGAUGCGUGCCUAAGGGCAGAACGACAAGCGCUGAAGGCUCGGAACUGGCUCUCUGUUAAGUUUUACAUUAAGAACCGAAUUACUGCUGAAAUGAGAGAACCUUUCCUGAAUAAAAUGUAUCUGCUGCUGAA